CUGGGCCGGAGGCCGGGCCUGCUACUGCUGCUGCUGGUGCUGCUGCUGGCGCUGGGCCGAAUGCUGCUUGGGCCUGCUUCUUCUUUCUCUUCUCCUGCUGGGCUGCUACUGCUAUUGGGCCUGCUGCUUAUUUUUUUUCGGGUUCUUUUUUUUUUUGCUUGGGCCUGGGUGUUUUGGGCUACUGGAUGGUCUGCCGUGGGUCGGGUUGGCUUUCCCGGGUCGGGUCGGGUCAAGCCCGACUGAUAUUUUUGUUAUCUUUUUAUUUUUUUAUUUUAUUUUCUUUCCUUUUCUAUUUUUUUCUCUCCUUUUUUUCUUUCUUUUUCUUUCUUUUUUCCUUUCUUCUUCGGGUUAAAAUCUAACCCCCUUUCUUUCGCCGCCGUCGAUACCUCCGGCGCACGGUGGCGGGAUAGGCGGCGGUGCUUCCUCUCUCUUCCUCUCUUCCCUCUUCUUUGUUGUUUUUUCUUUUUUGCUACUGUUUUUCUUUCUUUUGUUUAUGCUUGCUCGUCUCUAGGGUGGACUUCGGUGGAGGGCAACGAUGGACGUGGCGCGGCGGUCCUGGUGGCGUGGGUGCGGUUGCGAUGAGUGUGGGAUCGGCCCAUUUGAAAGCUUUCGCUGCUGUUCCUUUUUUUAAUUUUUUUGCUGCUUUUUUUUUUGUUGUGGAAUUCCCCCUCCCUUCUCUUCAAUUUUUCUUUUUAAAAGCUCCAAAUUUUGUCCUCUUUCUCAUUGUUUGCAGGUAGUGGGUGAAGAAGGAGCAGCCACCCAUGUUUAUGGCCUGAAAAUCUGGGAAGUGGGUGCCCCAAAUCAC
RNAcentral lists this long non-coding RNA (805 nucleotides) under Gossypium barbadense (sea-island cotton). RNAcentral describes it as "long non-coding RNA (GBAR_LNC001150)". Lineage: Eukaryota; Viridiplantae; Streptophyta; Magnoliopsida; Malvales; Malvaceae. The record is from RNAcentral.